RNAcentral lists this small RNA (295 nucleotides) under Microbispora sp. ATCC PTA-5024. RNAcentral describes it as "5' ureB small RNA". It matches the Rfam family "5' ureB small RNA". The record is from Rfam by way of RNAcentral. Lineage: Bacteria; Bacillati; Actinomycetota; Actinomycetes; Streptosporangiales; Streptosporangiaceae.
UCAUCGAGGAUCUGGGGACAGAUCAGGUGGACGUGGGAGUCGACCGCGCCGGCCGUGACGAUCUUCCCGUUGCCGGACAGGAUCUCGGUCGACGGGCCGAUGACCAGAUCGGGGUGGACGCCGUCCAUCGUGUCGGGGUUGCCGGCCUUGCCGAUGGCGACGAUGCGGCCGUCGCGCACGCCGAUGUCGGCCUUGACCACCCCCCAGUGGUCGAGGAUCACCGCGCCUGUGAUCACGAGGUCGGCGGCGCCCUCGGCCCGGGUGGUGCGGGCCUGGCCCAUCGACUCGCGGAUCA